RNA transcript from Pomacea canaliculata, 2661 nucleotides. It is a transcript of the gene named neuralized-like protein 4, with no coding region annotated. The transcript is spliced from 3 exons. The record is from RefSeq and is a predicted model, not a curated record. NCBI's taxonomy places the organism in Eukaryota, Metazoa, Mollusca, Gastropoda, Architaenioglossa, Ampullariidae.
GUAAAUAAUUAUUCACUAUGCUUCGGACACAUUUUAGUCACUUUCAUGGAUGGUAUGCUGAGUGUAGAACGUGGAAAACAUAAAAAUAUCUUCAUCUGUCUUUGUAUCCAGAUACGGGUUGACAAGAUGAACCGUUCAUGGAACUCAAGCCACAUCAUGUAUUAUGGUGUGACAGGAACCCACCCUUCCAACCUCAAAAUACAAGAACACAUGUAUCAAACUAAUUUUAUAAUCGUAAAGAGGCUUGGGGACUCCACAACCUCCCUCGAGGAGGGGAGUGUGAUUGGACUGAUCAUUGACUCCUCCAACGACCUACACCUGUACUUGAACGGUGAGGACCUCGGUGUAACAGAAAAAAACGUUCCUCGACCCUGCUAUGCUGCUUUUGACCUCAACCGUCGAGUAGUAAAGGUGACGGCACUUCCAGUUUGAUGUCGACUGUUGAUAGAGUUAUCUGACUAUGUCCGCUUGCAUACAAUAAAGAAAAUGUAUCAUCCACAUUGCUGUGUAUCAUCACGAGUAUAUUUUUCGCACACCUAAUUACGGGAAUGCGGUUUGUGGUGACUCAGAGGACAACAGUGUCUGGCAGGGUGGAAGUGUACCCGUUGCACUAAACUAAAACUAAAGCUAGUCACUGACAGCAUGCAUAAUUCUAUAAUUCAGUGAGCUGUGCGAAAACGAAAGCUAAAAACUUUACUUUCGAUUUCGAUUCCCAGAAGUGAGGGGUGUCUAUUACCUACAUUAUCACACCUGUCGUGUGACUCCUGAUUAGGUGACAAUCAAGACAUGUUCGCUAGCUCUGUUCGCAGCAGAAAGAAAAUUUCAAUACCUACUGACUGUUAAAACUUCGCUGUUACUGCAAAAAGUGCAACUUCCACCACGACAGAUUCUUUUCCGGAGGAGACUGUGAGUAGUCAAAAGUCACGUGUCACUUCUUGUUGUCAAAGUGACUGUAAGGUUGUCGUAACACAUGUCAGGAGAGUUCAGUAACUAAAAGUUGUUAUUUAUUAGCUCAACUCCUUAGCUUAGUCCUUUUAUUCGCUGUAGUGGCGGCACUUCCUUGCGGAACGCGACGAUUUCAAGGGAAGCUACUUUAAGGUAUCUGUAUUUGUUUUGUUCCAAGCAUUACCUCCCAUGUUAUCACCAGGAUAGCAUUUCAUCAGUGUUUUAUCAUAGAUCAGUACAAAUAAAACAAUGUAACGAGACACUAUUCCUACAAAUCCAAGCUUUCUUAAAAAUAGGUUUGUAUAAAAUACAGAAAUAGCAAUCCGGUAGCAAGGUUUUUUUCUCCCUGAAUAUAAUCUUGAGCUAACUAUUGAAAUAUUGAACUAAUAUUCAGAAAAUUUAAGUAUUAUUUACAUAAUAGGCAGAUAAAACUGCACAUACAGAGAAGGAUUAGGGUGAAUAAAAUUUCUUUCCAUUACCACAUUCAUUUUCAAUGUUUUCCCAGCUAUAAUAUACAUGUUGUAUAGCUUAAACUGUAAUUAAAACACUACCAGAAAGAUAAAUUACAUUUUUUAUGAUCAGAUAAAGUUCAUGUUAUGCUUCGUGCGUUGUGUAUGUGUUUUUAUUAUUCAAUCUGAAUGUUUAUAUUUUUUGUCUAGCGCUAUCAGCUUGCUUUUUAAAGUGCGAUAAAGUGCUCUAUAAUUAGAUUAUUGUUGUUGGUUGUUGUUUGUUGUGGUUGUUGUUGUUGUCCGUGAUAGCAACAAAUCUGUUUGCUAGAGUUCUUUAGAUGUAACUGCAGCAUUUUGAAGAUGUCCCCGUUUUUGCACGAGACUGUCUAUGCAACAGCACGUGAGUGGGUUAUCUGUUAAUAGACGCACGAGAUAACCAGCAAGCUGGAUAAGUUGCGUAUGGGGUAAAGGUUAUUUUUAGGGUUAUCUAGUGUAUAAUGUAUCAGUCAUAAUUGCGCGGACUGACUUCAUAUCUCUAGUAAACAAAAUAAUGCCUACAGAGAACUGAAUAAUGAAUUUUGGUGUUAAAAAAAUCUUUUUACCUCCACUCUAAAAAAAUCAUGAGCUUCAAAAUAUGGAGCUCACGUGCCCUUAAUCUACAACAGAUUACAGUUUUACUUUACUAAUUUUAGAUUGCAUUCCAUGAUGGCGGGAGUGUCCAGUGAGACACAUGAACGAGAGUGUGCCGUGUGCACUAAUGAAUUCACCACACCAAAGAUUCUACCCUGUGGUCAUCUCCUGUGUCGACAAUGUGUCAUUUCCUGGUUGGACUCAAAAUCAGACGCUGGCUGUCCUCUGUGUAGAUACCCCAUAGCGAGAAACAAAAUGAGUCAGAUGGAAAUUCCGCGGAUAUUGCCGACGCCCUGCCAACAGAAUAUGUGAUGGAGGCGCUGGUGGACACCGCUCACGUGCUGGAUAAGGAGCACAUCUGUUGUGUCUGUGACGAUGCUAGGGCUGACUUCAUCUGUAUGCAGUGCCUGGACAUGAUGUGCUCAUCGUGUUACAAAAUACACAAAAAGUUCUCGGCGACCCGCAGUCACGAUGUAGAGAGUCUCAGCACUGUGACACCUGAACGUCUGGCUGCCAGCCGCCCUGCACUGUGUGCUGACCACGGCGACAAACACGCGGAGUUCUUCUGCCGCGAGCACCGCGUCCCUGUCUGCAAAUCCUGUAAGUCCGAGAAUCACAGAGAAUGUUCAAAAGUAAA